This 504-nucleotide ribosomal RNA is filed under the name uncultured bacterium. RNAcentral's name for it is "partial 16S ribosomal RNA". It matches the Rfam family "Bacterial small subunit ribosomal RNA", at positions 29 to 523 of the family's 1533-position model. The record is from RNAcentral.
AUUGAACGCUGGCGGCAGGCCUAACACAUGCAAGUCGAACGGUAGCACAGAGAGCUUGCUCUCGGGUGACGAGUGGCGGACGGGUGAGUAACGUCUGGGAAACUGCCCGAUGGAGGGGGAUAACUACUGGAAACGGUAGCUAAUACCGCAUAACGUCGCAAGACCAAAGUGGGGGACCUUCGGGCCUCACACCAUCGGAUGUGCCCAGAUGGGAUUAGCUAGUAGGUGGGGUAAUGGCUCACCUAGGCGACGAUCCCUAGCUGGUCUGAGAGGAUAACCAGCCAAACUGGAACUGAGACACGGUCCAGACUCCUACGGGAGGCAGCAGUGGGGAAUAUUGCACAAUGGGCGCAAGCCUGAUGCAGCCAUGCCGCGUGUAUGAAGAAGGCCUUCGGGUUGUAAAGUACUUUCAGCGGGGAGGAAGGCGGUGAAGUUAACAGCUUCACCGAUUGACGUUACCCGCAGAAGAAGCACCGGCUAACUCCGUGCCAGCCGCCGCGGUAA